UUAAGCGACUAAGCGUACACGGUGGAUGCCCUGGCAGUCAGAGGCGAUGAAGGACGUGCUAAUCUGCGAUAAGCGUCGGUAAGGUGAUAUGAACCGUUAUAACCGGCGAUUUCCGAAUGGGGAAACCCAGUGUGUUUCGACACACUAUCAUUAACUGAAUCCAUAGGUUAAUGAGGCGAACCGGGGGAACUGAAACAUCUAAGUACCCCGAGGAAAAGAAAUCAACCGAGAUUCCCCCAGUAGCGGCGAGCGAACGGGGAGCAGCCCAGAGCCUGAAUCAGUGUGUGUGUUAGUGGAAGCGUCUGGAAAGGCGCGCGAUACAGGGUGACAGCCCCGUACACAAAAAUGCACAUACUGUGAGCUCGAUGAGUAGGGCGGGACACGUGGUAUCCUGUCUGAAUAUGGGGGGACCAUCCUCCAAGGCUAAAUACUCCUGACUGACCGAUAGUGAACCAGUACCGUGAGGGAAAGGCGAAAAGAACCCCGGCGAGGGGAGUGAAAAAGAACCUGAAACCGUGUACGUACAAGCAGUGGGAGCACGCUUCGGCGUGUGACUGCGUACCUUUUGUAUAAUGGGUCAGCGACUUAUAUUCUGUAGCAAGGUUAACCGAAUAGGGGAGCCGAAGGGAAACCGAGUCUUAACUGGGCGUUAAGUUGCAGGGUAUAGACCCGAAACCCGGUGAUCUAGCCAUGGGCAGGUUGAAGGUUGGGUAACACUAACUGGAGGACCGAACCGACUAAUGUUGAAAAAUUAGCGGAUGACUUGUGGCUGGGGGUGAAAGGCCAAUCAAACCGGGAGAUAGCUGGUUCUCCCCGAAAGCUAUUUAGGUAGCGCCUCGUGAACUCAUCUUCGGGGGUAGAGCACUGUUUCGGCAAGGGGGUCAUCCCGACUUACCAACCCGAUGCAAACUGCGAAUACCGGAGAAUGUUAUCACGGGAGACACACGGCGGGUGCUAACGUCCGUCGUGAAGAGGGAAACAACCCAGACCGCCAGCUAAGGUCCCAAAGUCAUGGUUAAGUGGGAAACGAUGUGGGAAGGCCCAGACAGCCAGGAUGUUGGCUUAGAAGCAGCCAUCAUUUAAAGAAAGCGUAAUAGCUCACUGGUCGAGUCGGCCUGCGCGGAAGAUGUAACGGGGCUAAACCAUGCACCGAAGCUGCGGCAGCGACACUAUGUGUUGUUGGGUAGGGGAGCGUUCUGUAAGCCUGUGAAGGUGUGCUGUGAGGCAUGCUGGAGGUAUCAGAAGUGCGAAUGCUGACAUAAGUAACGAUAAAGCGGGUGAAAAGCCCGCUCGCCGGAAGACCAAGGGUUCCUGUCCAACGUUAAUCGGGGCAGGGUGAGUCGACCCCUAAGGCGAGGCCGAAAGGCGUAGUCGAUGGGAAACAGGUUAAUAUUCCUGUACUUGGUGUUACUGCGAAGGGGGGACGGAGAAGGCUAUGUUGGCCGGGCGACGGUUGUCCCGGUUUAAGCGUGUAGGCUGGUUUUCCAGGCAAAUCCGGAAAAUCAAGGCUGAGGCGUGAUGACGAGGCACUACGGUGCUGAAGCAACAAAUGCCCUGCUUCCAGGAAAAGCCUCUAAGCAUCAGGUAACAUUAAAUCGUACCCCAAACCGACACAGGUGGUCAGGUAGAGAAUACCAAGGCGCUUGAGAGAACUCGGGUGAAGGAACUAGGCAAAAUGGUGCCGUAACUUCGGGAGAAGGCACGCUGAUAUGUAGGUGAAGUCCCUCGCGGAUGGAGCUGAAAUCAGUCGAAGAUACCAGCUGGCUGCAACUGUUUAUUAAAAACACAGCACUGUGCAAACACGAAAGUGGACGUAUACGGUGUGACGCCUGCCCGGUGCCGGAAGGUUAAUUGAUGGGGUUAGCGGUAACGCGAAGCUCUUGAUCGAAGCCCCGGUAAACGGCGGCCGUAACUAUAACGGUCCUAAGGUAGCGAAAUUCCUUGUCGGGUAAGUUCCGACCUGCACGAAUGGCGUAAUGAUGGCCAGGCUGUCUCCACCCGAGACUCAGUGAAAUUGAACUCGCUGUGAAGAUGCAGUGUACCCGCGGCAAGACGGAAAGACCCCGUGAACCUUUACUAUAGCUUGACACUGAACAUUGAGCCUUGAUGUGUAGGAUAGGUGGGAGGCUUUGAAGUGUGGACGCCAGUCUGCAUGGAGCCGACCUUGAAAUACCACCCUUUAAUGUUUGAUGUUCUAACGUUGACCCGUAAUCCGGGUUGCGGACAGUGUCUGGUGGGUAGUUUGACUGGGGCGGUCUCCUCCUAAAGAGUAACGGAGGAGCACGAAGGUUGGCUAAUCCUGGUCGGACAUCAGGAGGUUAGUGCAAUGGCAUAAGCCAGCUUGACUGCGAGCGUGACGGCGCGAGCAGGUGCGAAAGCAGGUCAUAGUGAUCCGGUGGUUCUGAAUGGAAGGGCCAUCGCUCAACGGAUAAAAGGUACUCCGGGGAUAACAGGCUGAUACCGCCCAAGAGUUCAUAUCGACGGCGGUGUUUGGCACCUCGAUGUCGGCUCAUCACAUCCUGGGGCUGAAGUAGGUCCCAAGGGUAUGGCUGUUCGCCAUUUAAAGUGGUACGCGAGCUGGGUUUAGAACGUCGUGAGACAGUUCGGUCCCUAUCUGCCGUGGGCGCUGGAGAACUGAGGGGGGCUGCUCCUAGUACGAGAGGACCGGAGUGGACGCAUCACUGGUGUUCGGGUUGUCAUGCCAAUGGCACUGCCCGGUAGCUAAAUGCGGAAGAGAUAAGUGCUGAAAGCAUCUAAGCACGAAACUUGCCCCGAGAUGAGUUCUCCCUGA
Molecule: ribosomal RNA, 2791 nt
Filed under: Escherichia coli
Lineage: Bacteria; Pseudomonadati; Pseudomonadota; Gammaproteobacteria; Enterobacterales; Enterobacteriaceae
Description: bacterial LSU rRNA
Rfam family: Bacterial large subunit ribosomal RNA
Source: RNAcentral